CAGCCUUGAGGCAAGAUCUGGUCCCAUCUGUCCUUCCUGAUGCAUGUAUCUACUUCUUCAACCAUGCCUUGGUUACAGCCAAGGAAGAUUCCACAGGAGUGAAGAGGCAAUGUUACUCCCUAGCACAGCUGCAGUCAUCCACAUAUCGAACACAGUGAGGAUCAAACUCUGCAUGUCUGUCUUCAGUUGGCGAUCCUCUCAGGUUUGACUGGUGGAUUCAGAGAGUGGGAUUCGGCCCCUGGUCAAAAUACUGAUUUGGCAAUGACAACCCAGCCUUAU
This is a long non-coding RNA of Pipra filicauda (Wire-tailed manakin), 279 nucleotides long. RefSeq lists it as uncharacterized. NCBI's taxonomy places the organism in Eukaryota, Metazoa, Chordata, Aves, Passeriformes, Pipridae. The transcript is spliced from 3 exons. The record is from RefSeq and is a predicted model, not a curated record.